GUCUCGAUAGCUAAGUGGUAUAGCAUGCGAUUGCAGUCCGACUGACACUGAUAUCGCGGGGUCCGGUGUUCAAACCACCGUCGGGACU
Non-coding RNA from Tricholoma furcatifolium, 88 nucleotides. The record is from the annotation of a GenBank genome assembly. NCBI's taxonomy places the organism in Eukaryota, Fungi, Basidiomycota, Agaricomycetes, Agaricales, Tricholomataceae.